AAGAAAUGUGAUUGGACAACAGAAAGGGGCAGAGCCUUAUGGUAAUGAACUGUGGGGGGCGGGAGCGUGUUGCUGAGAGAGGCCUAUUUAUUCAGACGCUUCUCGGCCUCUCUGUGCUGCAUUUCUUUCCUCCAGAUACAGGGCGGUUCAUCUCUCACAUGAGGGUCUUACGAUCUACUUGCAGGAAAGGAAAGACGAUGCGAGGACACAGUGAGAAGAUAGCGUCCACAAACCAGAAAAAGAGAGCUCACCAGAAACCAACCCUGACAACAUCUUGAUCUUGGAGUUCCAGCCUCCAGAACUGUGAGAAAAAAAAUUUUUGUUGUUUAAGUCACCAGUCUGUGGUAUUCUGUUAUGGUUGCCCAAGCAGACUAAUACAGUAUACAAAAACUUGUAUUGUCACAAUUUACAUGUUUAUGCAUUGUAUGCCCACAAAUACAGAUUUACAACUUUUGCUCUAUGUAACUGUCUUUUAAGUCAGAUAAGAAAAAAAAGGAGUUACAACAAAAUACAUUUAUACUGCUUUUUUAUAUUUACCUAUGUGUUAACCUUUAUUAGUACUCUUUAAUUCUUCAUAUUGAUUUUAAUUUCUUUCUAGUGUUCUUUC
This 607-nucleotide long non-coding RNA is filed under the name Homo sapiens (human). RNAcentral describes it as "HSALNT0182346". The record is from RNAcentral. Lineage: Eukaryota; Metazoa; Chordata; Mammalia; Primates; Hominidae.